CCUACGGGGGGCAGCAGUAGGGAAUUUUCCACAAUGGGCGAAAGCCUGAUGGAGCAACGCCGCGUGGGUGAAGAAGGUCUUCGGAUCGUAAAACCCUGUUGUUAGAGAAGAAAGUGCGUGAGAGUACCUGUUCACGUUUCGACGGUAUCUAACCAGAAAGCCACGGCUAACUACGUGCCAGCAGCCGCGGUAAUACGUAGGUGGCAAGCGUUAUCCGGAUUUAUUGGGCGUAAGGGGAACGCAGGCGGUCUUUUAAGUCUGAUGUGAAAGCCUUCGGCUUAACCGGAGUAGUGCAUUGGAAACGGGGAGACGUGAGUGCAGAAGAGGAGAGUGGAACUCCAUGUGUAGCGGUGAAAUGCGUAGAUAUAUGGAAGAACACCAGUGGCGAAAGCGGCUCUCUGGUCUGUAACUGACGCUGAGGUUCGAAAGCGUGGGUAGCAAACAGGAUUAGAUACCCUUGUAGU
Molecule: ribosomal RNA, 464 nt
Filed under: uncultured bacterium
Lineage: Bacteria
Description: partial 16S ribosomal RNA
Rfam family: Bacterial small subunit ribosomal RNA
Source: RNAcentral